RNAcentral lists this ribosomal RNA (253 nucleotides) under uncultured bacterium. Its description in RNAcentral is "partial 16S ribosomal RNA". It matches the Rfam family "Bacterial small subunit ribosomal RNA", at positions 524 to 776 of the family's 1533-position model. The record is from RNAcentral.
UACGAAGGGGGCUAGCGUUGCUCGGAAUUACUGGGCGUAAAGCGCGCGUAGGUGGCUUCGUAAGUCCGUUGUGAAAGUCAAAGGCUCAACCUUUGAAUGCCGAUGGAUACUGCGAAGCUAGAGUACGGAAGAGGCGAGUGGAAUUCCUGGUGUAGCGGUGGAAUGCGCAGAUAUCAGGAGGAACACCAAUAGCGAAGGCAGCUCGCUGGGACGUUACUGACACUAAGGCGCGAAAGCGUGGGGAGCGAACAGG